UUUCCAAGUCCCCACUCUACCGGGCAAGUCCAGCUGGCCUCACAUCUCACCAGCAUUUUGGGAGGCCGAGGCAGGCGGGUAACGAGGUCAGGAGAUUGAGACCAUCCUGGCUAACACAGUGAAACCGUGUCUCUACUAAAAAUACAAAAAAUUAGCCAGGCGUGAUGGCACGUGCCUGUAGAGCCAGCUACUCUAGAGCUGCGGGCAGGAGAAUCACUUGAACCCGGGAGGCGGAGGUUGCAGUAAGCCGAGAUCGCACCACUGCACUCCAACCUGGAUGAAAGAGCGAGAACCCAUCUCAAAAAAAAGAAAACAAAAGGGCUUAUGUCCCGCUGCAGCUGCCGCCCUGCUCAAGAGAAAGACUGAGCGGGAUGCUAAGGAGAUAACGCCAAGGUGAAGGAUGAACCACAGAGAAGAUCCGCGAGGUUGUCUGUUAAACUUGCUUCUCCAAAGCCAAGUCUAAGGAGACUGUUGCAAAGAAGGGAGAGAAGGUACCCAAAGAGAAAAACGGAAGAACUGAUGCUGGCAAGGAGGGGAAUAACCCUGCAGAGAAUGCAGAUGCCUAAACAGACCAGGCACAGGAAGCCAAGGUGCUGGAGGUGCCAGGGGAUGACCCUAGCCAGGUCCCAGCACCACGCUCUUGGACUUCCUAGCCUCCAGAACUAGCCAGUGAAUGGGAUCUUGGAACAACGGAUGAAAAGCCAGCAAAGAAAGAGAGACAUACCUCCUGCUACGGCUGGGAACCAAACAGGAAUAACCCUGAAAGGCUGCCUUUUGUGGAGGAGACUUGUAUCUGUAGAGAAAAUCUACACUGGUGAAAUAAACAACCAGGCUUUCUUGGAGGCACCCCCUUAUCUGUACCUAGGAAAUUAUUAACUGAAAGUCUGACACCUAUGAAGGUCUGACAGAGCAACUUAACACAGGCUCAUGCCUAUUCUUUCUAGGAGCUGCUAUCUAUGACGUUUCAUCUGCAUAACUAGACCAUCUUUGCCCCAGCCCCUUCUUUCUUUCUCCCUCCCAUAACCAUGUUCCAAGCCCCUAUUCUGCUGUAACCUCAAAAUGGCAUAAAAGCAUCAAGCAUCUGGCCCUUUCUCUCAGUUUUCAUAUUUUGUAUGACUCCCAUGCCCAUAUGCUCAUUAAUACAUUUGUAAGAUUUUCCCCCCUUGUUAAUCUAUUAGCAGUUUGUUUCAUAGACUCAGAUGAUCAAAACUUUAGGGGAAAAAAUCAAAUUCAAAUUUCCCUAAAGUGGUCACACAGCUGGCUAGUGGCAGAGGUGAAUUUCAAAUCCAGCUCUCUGUAAGGGCCAGUUACUACUGCAUCACAAUACAUCUUAUAAAGUGCUCUUACAUAUUCAUUCAAGGUACUGUUGUUAUUAUUAAACUUGUUUGACUUGAAAUAGGUUUACAAACAAAAAUCAGCAUAAACCACCUAGUUCAACAUGUCUGAAAAUGUAGCUUCAAUAUGGGAUAAUAAAAUACAGAAGGUU
Gorilla gorilla gorilla (western lowland gorilla) is the source of this 1486-nucleotide long non-coding RNA. RefSeq lists it as uncharacterized. The transcript is spliced from 6 exons. NCBI's taxonomy places the organism in Eukaryota, Metazoa, Chordata, Mammalia, Primates, Hominidae. The record is from RefSeq and is a predicted model, not a curated record.